Molecule: long non-coding RNA, 207 nt
Organism: Phacochoerus africanus (Common warthog)
Lineage: Eukaryota; Metazoa; Chordata; Mammalia; Artiodactyla; Suidae
Exons: 2
Source: RefSeq, a predicted model, not a curated record
CGGGAGGUCGCCGGGCGUCUGCGCAUGUGCGCCGAGGCCCAGAGGAUGGGAAGCCUAGAGGGUCAAAGUUCUCCAAAAGAAGACCCCCAGAGAACGAGCACACCACCUACUCUUUCACAUAGCCGUGAAAACAGAACCAGACAGCAAGGGCAGGAGGAAGGAGCACUGACUUGGGAAACUGAGAAUAUAAUAAACCAUAACACUGUU